GAGAUCAACCACAUAAACAAAGAGCACAAACACAACCCUUCUCCCCCCUCACAAGAUUUGAAAGCAUCUUGUCUCUUUAUUGGUCCUCUGGGUCAGGUGCUAGCCAGGUUAGCUGAGCUUCUUAACCCUUUACAGGUAACAGGAUGUUGCCUCUGGCCAGGAGGGAUUUUAUAGCACUGUAUACAGAAAGGUGGUUAUCUUUCCCUUUAUAACAACUCUGAUCAAGCUAAAAAAGUAAGAGUAUAGUUGCAGUUCCAUGAGCAGCGAGAUGGGUUAGCAGUCAGAAUUUGUACCUAUGUGAGAUGCUGGGCACAUACUCAUGGUGGCUGGCCCCUUCCGCCGCUCAUGCUGUCAGAGCUACGCUUUAUUUUUAGUCAUGCCUCCUUGCCCUUGUUGGACCUGCUCCCAGUGGAAGGAGCAUUCAAAAGGGAGAAGCUCAGCUCAGCCUGGGCUGACUGUGGAGGAGAGUGGUUGUGUGCAAAAGCCUCCUUCCAGGAAGACGCUGGGACUCCAAGCUGUUGGGGCCUACCUGAGCCGCAGGAAGUCAGUUGAUUACAGGAACCAAAGGGGAUGACUUGCUGUUACCAGUGGAGGAGCUGCUGGAGACAGAGCAGAGGGAGCACACGAGGGUACCCGUGUGUAACUCUGGAGGGACUGGGAUGAGGGUAGGAAGCGACCCAGGGAACAUGCUUGGGGAUAUUUGGACCUGAACCUUGUGUCAGGAUAUCUGGUUUUAAAGGGCGCUGGGUCAGAACCUGGUGGUAUAGUGUGGGCCUGGGUUACCCUACCCACACCCCUCUUGCCACUGGGUGAUAUUGCCGUUAGGUGAAUCGGCUUCUCGGAGAUAUUGCCACUAGGCAAAGCAGCACCUGGAAUCCCCACUGCUGGGCAUUAUAUCCCAGAGCAUCAUUCCUGGACAGCACUGUUGUCUUGGUACACCUAAUCAGCACCCCCUCAACAGUAUCAGAUAGCAUAUUUAUAAACCUUUUGAAGAGUUUGUCUUCACUAGGAAAACAAUUGUAUUUUCAAAACAUGUUAAUUAACCUGUGUUAGUUAUCAUGUAUUAAAACCAUAGCAUAGACAAGGCAAUUUGCAUUUUAACUUGUGUCAAAAUACAGCUCUGGUUGGUUCUUACCAGUUAACUCAUGUUAAAAUGCAAAUUUCCUGCCUCUAUUAGGGUUUUAAUGUAAGUUAAUUAACAUGUUAGUUCACAUAUUUCAAAAACACUGUUUUCCCUAAUGUGGACACAGCCUUAGUCAUGGAAAACAUUUCUCGACCCCCCCCCCACCCCGCGUUUUGACUCUGAAGAUUCAGAACUGCAGAAUUUCUGGGGCAGAGAAAUGAUAAGGGUCACCAUAAGCUACAAAUAGCAGUAUCCAGCUGUUGUUCUUCCAUUUGCCUGAAUGGGCUUAAAAUUCAUCUAAUUUUCAAAACAAAGCAAGUUUGGAUCUAAUAAGUACUUGGAUGGGGACAGUCUGAGAAUGCUAUGCUUUCUAGGCUUGUUGCUUUUUUGUGACAACAUAUUGUAACCUCUUCAGAUCUCAUGAGCAAAGCAAGUUUGUGUAUGGCCUGUAUCUGGGUGAGAUGCUUCCAAAGGGAAAAUAAAAGUCAGUGGACUGCACACAUCUGCUAUGCACAAGAGUGCAGUUGCUAGUCCAUCUCUUACAACACUGCUUUUGGCAGUUAUGGUUUCACUUCUCUUCUCAUCGCUUUGUUUUUCAUAUUCACAUUCAAGUAAUUUCUCCUAACAAAACUCCAAUGCACGGUUGAAAAUAGCAACACAAAGUCAGAUAACAGUCAUUUAAAACUAUCUCCUUUCCAGGACAACUCUCUUUGUAUAAGCUUCGAUAAAUUCUCCUGCUAAUCUGGACUAUCCAAACCUUUUGAAAUUCCCAUUCUUUUUUUAGUUUACAAUAUUUGGUUUUGCCCAAAUACAGCACUUUAUCAUACCAGAAUGAAAGAUGGAGGGGACCCUUUAUAAUUAUACAGUAUAUAUAUAUGAUGGAAUGCAGUAAAUUUGGCAGACCCUGUUUCAUCUUUUCGUGUAAACAGGGCAAUUUCACUAGACAGUUACCAUUGCACUUUUGGGGAAAAAAUCCAGAGCAUGUAAAAUCAUAUAUUCUAAAUUAUACUUGUUGGAGAAUACAAGUGUACAAUUUAAAUUCUUACAGUAAAUCUGUUGUUAAUGUUAAUUUUAUUGUAAGGUCCAAAUAAUUAAUCUGUAGUAUGGGCAUGUGAUUAGUUGCUUGACUGUCACAUAGUACAGUAUGAGAUGAGGCUGUGCUGUUUAACUAUAUUUUAUUUACUAAUUUUUCUCUACAGUCUUGAACACUUCCCAUUGAAGAAGCUGACUGGUCAAAUUCAUGAAGACAUCUUUCAUUUUCCCUGACAGCAGAUGUUUUCAUACAUAAACACAAUAAUAGAGUAAUUACAUGUCACUCAGCCCAUAUGCAAGUGAAAUUCUCCUCUGGUGGGGAUAACAGUGAUGCUACUCAAUGAACUAUUGUAUAACAAGGGCUCUAAAUGCAUCUCCUGUAGCAUACCACAGUGAUUUACAAAAGUGGGAAUAAAUCAAAGCAGUGAAGAGAUGCCAUGUUGAGCCAGAAGCUAAAUGUUACAUCUUGUUGCAUGAGGUAAGGGAGAACAGAUCCUGUUUUUCUGGCAGCACAAUAUCGUUGUGCUUGAUACCUCAGAUGCAGCCCCAUUAAAACAAUCAUUCAGAAUCUACAGGAGAUUGUCACUUCUUUCUUUCAUGCAAUGGCAGCUGGUAUUGGUGCUUACACAUAUUCCUCAUUCCCUUCAAGAUUUUCAACACACAAAGAAGCUUAAUUUAUAUUUAAAAAAUAAGUGUCAUCUUACCCUGAGGCUCAUCACUGGCACCCGGGG
Dermochelys coriacea (leatherback sea turtle) is the source of this 2886-nucleotide long non-coding RNA. RefSeq lists it as uncharacterized. Lineage: Eukaryota; Metazoa; Chordata; Testudines; Dermochelyidae. The transcript has 2 exons. The record is from RefSeq and is a predicted model, not a curated record.